RNAcentral lists this ribosomal RNA (618 nucleotides) under uncultured bacterium. Its description in RNAcentral is "bacterial SSU rRNA". It matches the Rfam family "Bacterial small subunit ribosomal RNA", at positions 335 to 944 of the family's 1533-position model. The record is from RNAcentral.
ACUCCUACGGGAGGCAGCAGUGGGGAAUAUUGGACAAUGGGGGGAACCCUGAUCCAGCCAUGCCGCGUGUGUGAAGAAGGCCUUAUGGUUGUAAAGCACUUUAAGCGAGGAGGAGGCUACUGAGACUAAUACUCUUGGAUAGUGGACGUUACUCGCAGAAUAAGCACCGGCUAACUCUGUGCCAGCAGCCGCGGUAAUACAGAGGGUGCGAGCGUUAAUCGGAUUUACUGGGCGUAAAGCGUGCGUAGGCGGCUUUUUAAGUCGGAUGUGAAAUCCCCGAGCUUAACUUGGGAAUUGCAUUCGAUACUGGGAAGCUAGAGUAUGGGAGAGGAUGGUAGAAUUCCAGGUGUAGCGGUGAAAUGCGUAGAGAUCUGGAGGAAUACCGAUGGCGAAGGCAGCCAUCUGGCCUAAUACUGACGCUGAGGUACGAAAGCAUGGGGAGCAAACAGGAUUAGAUACCCUGGUAGUCCAUGCCGUAAACGAUGUCUACUAGCCGUUGGGGCCUUUAGGGCUUUAGUGGCGCAGCUAACGCGAUAAGUAGACCGCCUGGGGAGUACGGUCGCAAGACUAAAACUCAAAUGAAUUGACGGGGGCCCGCACAAGCGGUGGAGCAUGUGG